This 460-nucleotide ribosomal RNA is filed under the name uncultured bacterium. Its description in RNAcentral is "partial 16S ribosomal RNA". It matches the Rfam family "Bacterial small subunit ribosomal RNA", at positions 338 to 795 of the family's 1533-position model. The record is from RNAcentral.
CCUACGGGCGGCAGCAGUGAGGAAUAUUGGUCAAUGGUCGGAAGACUGAACCAGCCAAGCAGCGUGAGGGAGGAAGGUACAGAGUAUCGUAAACCGCUUUUGUCAGGGGACAAAGACUGGGACGCGUCCCCGGAUGAGGGUACCGGAAGAAAAAGCAUCGGCUAACUCCGUGCCAGCAGCCGCGGUAAUACGGAGGAUGCGAGCGUUAUCCGGAUUUAUUGGGUUUAAAGGGUGCGGAGGCGGGACGUUAAGCGCGCGGUCAAAGGCCGGGGCUCAACCCCGGCCCCGCGGUUGAAACUGGCAGUCUUGAGUUGGAGAGACGUAUGCGGAAUGCGCGGUGUAGCGGUGAAAUGCUUAGAUAUCGCGAAGAACUCCGAUUGCGAAGGCAGCAUGCCGGCUCCACACUGACGCUGAGGCACGAAGGCGUGGGUAUCGAACAGGAUUAGAUACCCUAGUAGUC